ACGCUCGACACCUACGGGAGACAGCAGUAGGGAAUCUUCCACAAUGGACGCAAGUCUGAUGGAGCAACGCCGCGUGAGUGAAGAAGGUUUUCGGAUCGUAAAGCUCUGUUGUUGGUGAAGAAGGAUAGAGGUAGUAACUGGCCUUUAUUUGACGGUAAUCAACCAGAAAGUCACGGCUAACUACGUGCCAGCAGCCCCGGUAAUCUGAGCGGGCUGGCAAGGC
RNAcentral lists this ribosomal RNA (223 nucleotides) under uncultured bacterium. RNAcentral describes it as "partial 16S ribosomal RNA". It matches the Rfam family "Bacterial small subunit ribosomal RNA", at positions 328 to 539 of the family's 1533-position model. The record is from RNAcentral.